UUCCGGUUGAUCCCGCCGGACCCGACUGCUAUCAGAGUGGGACUAAGCCAUGCGAGUCAACGCCGCAAGGCGUGGCAUACGGCUCAGUAACACGUAGUCAACAUGCCCAAAGGACGUGGAUAACCUCGGGAAACUGAGGAUAAACCGCGAUAGGCCAAGGUUUCUGGAAUGGACCAUGGCUGAAAUCUAUAUGGCCUUUGGAUUGGACUGCGGCCGAUCAGGCUGUUGGUGAGGUAAUGGCCCACCAAACCUGUUACCGGUACGGGCUUUGAGAGAAAGAGCCCGGAGAUGGGCACU
Molecule: ribosomal RNA, 297 nt
Filed under: uncultured archaeon
Lineage: Archaea
Description: partial 16S ribosomal RNA
Rfam family: Archaeal small subunit ribosomal RNA
Source: RNAcentral